AGAGUUUGAUCAUGGCUCAGAAUGAACGUUGGCGGCGUGGAUUAGGCAUGCAAGUCGUGCGACAAGCCUCCUUCGGGAGGUGGAGGAGCGGCGAAAGGGAGAGUAACGCGUAGAUACCUGCCCCCAGGCCCGGGAUAGCGGUGGGAAACUGCCGGUAAUACCGGAUAAUGUCUCCGGACCAAAGGUGGGAUUCCGCCUGGGGAUGGGUCUGCGUCCUACUAGCUUGUUGGUGGGGUAAUGGCCUACCAAGGCGAAGAUGGGUAGCGGGUGUGAGAGCAUGGCCCGCCUCACUGGGACUGAGACACUGCCCAGACACCUACGGGUGGCUGCAGUCGAGAAUCUUCCGCAAUGGGCGCAAGCCUGACGGAGCGACGCCGCGUGCGGGAUGAAGGCCUUCGGGUUGUAAACCGCUGUCAGCGGGGAGGAAAUGCAUGGGGGUUCUCCCCCAUGUUGACCGAUCCGCAGAG
This 467-nucleotide ribosomal RNA is filed under the name uncultured bacterium. RNAcentral describes it as "bacterial SSU rRNA". It matches the Rfam family "Bacterial small subunit ribosomal RNA", at positions 8 to 486 of the family's 1533-position model. The record is from RNAcentral.